Molecule: long non-coding RNA, 2679 nt
Organism: Oreochromis aureus
Lineage: Eukaryota; Metazoa; Chordata; Actinopteri; Cichliformes; Cichlidae
Source: Ensembl
CAUGUGAAGCAUGUGAGGCUCCUGCUGCAGCGCCUGUUGGAGAAUCGCUUGUUCGUUAAGGUGGAAAAAUAAUGGAAUUAUGAUGUUGGGGACCGGGAGUUGCUCGCCAUCAAGCUGGCCCUGGAGGAGUGGCAGCAUUGGCUGGAGGCGGGCGAGAACCCUGUGGUGGUGUGGACAGAUCACAAGAACUUGGCGUAUCUCCAAGCAGCGAAGCAUCUCAAUGCUCGGCAAGCCAGGUCUGUUUUUUACCUGUUUCAAUCUCAUUAUUACAUACAUGCCUGGGUCCCACAACACCAAAGCAGACGCACUGUCACGCCAGUUCGCACCGGAUCCCGAUGAUGAGGGAAUCAGCCCAUCCUCCCGCCUUCGUGUUUUGUUGGAGCUUUAAUGUGGGAGAUAAAGAAGCUCAUAAGGGAGCAGGAACCCGACCCAGGAACAGGCCCAGAGGGCAAGCUGUUUGUCCCUGCAUCAGAGUAGGGUGCUCCAGUGGGCCUACACCGCACAUUUCGGCUGUCAUCUGAAUAAGGCACCGAAUUCGCCUCCUGCUGGCCUCCUGCAACCACUCCCCAUGCCCAAGUGACCCUGGUCGCACAUUGCACUGGACUUUGUCACCGGACUGCCCCCGUCAUCAGGUGAGACCAGUCCGGACCAGCCCGUUGUGCCUGCCCCCUGGGUCCCCACCAUCUCUGACAAGUUUGUCUCUUUCCUUUCUCUCUGUCUCGGGGGCGAUUGUUUACGGAGGUCGCCUGGCAACGAGUGACACUUGACCCGGAAGUACCGCUGCUCUAGAAGCCGCCACACCUGGGACUGAUUCGGCAUCCACCUGCCUUUAAUUAUCCACCAUCUUAGGCAGAGCUAUUUAAUGGGUGGCCUACGACAGUCACUGCUGGAGUAUUGCACUAAGCCGCUAGUGUUCUCGGACCAUUUGUGUGGAGAAGUAUUGCCUGCCAGAAAAGAGACUUACCGUUAGCUGUCCUUUGUGUGUGAUUAGGAACAAAGAAGGAGAAGGAUUAUGAGCAUGGGGAAAGAGGGAGGGAGGAACGGAGAUUCACUGUCACGCACCACUUGAGCACGGGGAAGAGGACACCAAUGCUCACUUGCACAUUGAACAAUUGUAACCUUUAUCACUGUAAAUAAACGCACUGUUGUUCAUUCAGAGCUCCGUGCCAGGGUCCACUCAUUCACCCCCGGUGACAGCAAUGACAUACACACCCUGAGGUUCUCAGAACAAGCAGAUUGAGCUUGAAAAGAAAGACUUAGCAGCAGCUUUCUCUCUCACAAGACUGAUCAGCAAUUUGAGUUCAUGAUGCAGCUUUAUGGAGCUCUGAUCCUGUGUGUGACUCUGUCUGCAGCAUGUGGAUUAAAAUGCUACACAUGUGCAGCUGCAGAUCCUAAAUCCUGCACAGACACCACAUCUUGUGCAUUCAUCUUCAACCGUUGUUUCUCUGGCAGAGUAGAUGGUCUUAAUGUAGUUACAAAGGGCUGCCUAAACAGUGUAGCAUGUGUUUGGCCUAUGUCUUGCUGUGAAGGGGACCUGUGUAACAGCACUAUUCCAACUGGUCCCAGUGCCAUCCUGCUGCUGGUAUCUUCAGCCAUCCUCAAAUUUCUUUUCUGAGCCUGUAGAAUGAUGUUGUUUCCAUACUGCAUUUUUUCGUAUUCUAUUUUGUACAACUAGAGAAGAAAAUAAAGAAAAUAAAAAACAUAAAAAUGCCAUGAUAUGAAAUAAAAAUGUCAUUGCUAUUUUGAUCUGUCAUUUAAAGUAAUCCUGUCACAGCCCUGGAUCGGUGACCCAGUGUUUUAUGUAUUAUUGUUAUUUUAUGAUUUCUUCGUGGUUUGAUUUCCAGUAUUUAGUAUGGGUUUAGUUCUGUGCCAGUCUGUUUCCUGUUUUACUUUGAAAGUUCGUGUCUCAUGUUAGUGUGUCUGGUUUUGCUCCCUUGUCUCAUUAGGUCUGAUUUGUCUCAGCUGUGUUUACUUCCUGUCUCCCUGAUUGCUCCCUCUGUGUAUUUAUGUCCUGUGUUUCUCUUUGUCAGUGUUGCGUUGUACCCUCAUACUAGCCUGUGUUCUGGUUUUCAUGCACAGUUUUUGGCUAUCCCAGUUUAGGUUUUGUUUUGUCUUUUGCCAACAAUAAAGUUGUUUAAGUUCACUUCCUGUUUUGGAGUCUGCGUUUGGGUCCUUUUCCUGCCUGCCUGCCCACAGAGCCAUGACAAAUCCACAGUCUGCCGUAUUCACAUACUUUAUUGCUUGAAUGUAAACUUUUCCUAAAUCAAUUAUAAAGAGCACUUUGAAGAUUUUUUUGAGAAAUAUUUUGGUUUAUAAACUUUUCAGACCACUUUAUAUAUACUUUUAUAUAAUUUUUCACUUAAAACUACCCUGUGGUUGAACUACAUAAAGUAAAGCAUGAUGGGAGUUUGUUUUACAAUGACAACUCUCUAAGCCACACUUACUUCCUGUGUCUGUACACAAAUAGAGCACAACAGAAAAGUUCUAACAAUUUGUUGUAAAAAAAAAAAAAAAAACAACAAAAUAAAAUAAAAAUGCUCUGUUCAAAUGGUCUCUCAUGAGACAUAAAGAAAACACAGAAUUCAAAUUAAAAACAACUAGCACUUACACCAAGGGUACCUUAAAUUUAUAGUCACACUGAACAUGGCAAGUUUCCCUGUGUGAACACAUGUAGAGAGC